UUGGACCUCCUCUCUGUCACUCACAACACCUGAGCCAAUCACCUGCAGUCUCCCUCCCACCUGGAAUCCACCUGUUCCUUUGUUUGAAGCACAUCCAGAUUCACUCAGUCACACACAACAGUCACUUGAACAGCAGGAUCACCCCACAUUCACUCAGCUCUGGAAACACAUUCACUUUUCACAAGCCUGGAAUCUUGGAAAUCACAGCAUCAAAGCAAGCCUUCAGCUCCACAACCAUGCUGUUGGACUCGUGGCUGCCACCAACAUAAACCAAACAUUUUGCUGACAUUGGUUAGGCUCCUAUGGAUGAUUUGAAUUGAUGGUGAGCUACCCUCGAAAGAACUGGAACAUUCUGAAAAGAUUCACCCCUUCACCCACCCACUCAUUGGCAGGCCUCAAGCCUCACAGCUUCAUCCCUUCCCCAGUGGUGUGGUAGGACUUGUUUAUAUUUGUUCCACCGUGUUUAUAUUUGUUUCACCUUGUUUAGACUCAUUUGGACUUGUUAGGAUUUGUUCAUGGACUAGUUUCAUGGAUUGAUUACUUUGAUUAACACCAUUGGCAACAGUGGAACCACACUCACCUGAAUUAAGAACUGUCAUUGCAUUAUUGGAUUGAACAUAGCACAUAGUCACUUUAAAUUGUUUAAAGUGAAGCUGCUGUAUUAUGAUUGAAUUGCUUGAAUUACAGGUGAAUGUUUGAUUUUUCUGAUUUUCUGUUCUUUUAAUUUAUUAUUUUGAUCAUUGCUCUAC
Amphiprion ocellaris (clown anemonefish) is the source of this 749-nucleotide long non-coding RNA. RefSeq lists it as uncharacterized. The record is from RefSeq and is a predicted model, not a curated record. Lineage: Eukaryota; Metazoa; Chordata; Actinopteri; Pomacentridae. The transcript has 3 exons.